UCCACCUCCGCCCCACCUUCCCCAGCUAUCGGGAAGACUGAAUGCAUAAAAAAGUCAUGAUCGUGCAGGGAGCUCUACACACGUGAACCAUUCAUCUUACUGCUCUUCAGCUACUCCUCUGCCUUCAGGAUUCUUCUUCUUUGACCCCCAACCCCUGGAAGACCAUGCAGAAGGUGCUCCUACUAUUGCAGGGUCACCUGAAGAUCAUUGGGAGGAUGGAUGCCGAAAAGUGCUAGGAAAAAUGUUGAAAGCAUGCUCCGGAUGUAAGGGGAUCGUGCUGGGGAUUAGAUAGGGGCUCUCUUGGGCUGCACUAAAGUGUUUGUUUACACCCAGAUGGGCCCUGCUGGCGGGGAAAUUUAAAGGGAACGUGCUCAGUCAGAAAGCUGCUUGCCAAUCACAACUGAUCGAAACAUCUCCAAAAUAAGAAUGGACGUCCGUGGGAAACGGGGCCCCACUGACUGCUGUGAAAAUCCAACUACUUGGGUUUUCAGGAACGAGUUGAAGAGCAGCAAAGUGGGGCAGUGCUGUGGGCUCAACGUGGGGGCUCAGCCAGGAAAUGAAAGAGCCGAGCUGCUGCCUUUCCUGAGGCCAGGGUCCCCCGAGCUUGCCUCUCUCCCCCGUGGGGCUGGGCUUUCAGGAGUUAUCUGCAUGUCUGAGACUUCCCACAGGACAGUGGGAAAGGCCAGAUGAUCCCCUUCAGAGAAAAGUCUGGAGCGAGAACGAAGAGAACUGGAUACAGGAGGGGGGUGGGCACUAAACUUGGGAGUCAGGAAGAAGCCUGUGGGGCAGACCCACCCACUGACUUCUUAUCAGAGUACCACCUGCUUCUCCUCCCAAGGUAUCACCGGAGGGACACCAUGUAUCCCAAACCUCAAAACUAAGAAAAUCUUUGCUUUUUGCAAGAGAAUGUAUAGUAUGAAUCUCUACCUGGUCUCAUCUUUCUCUUUGCUUUGGCGGCCAGGAAGCCCAGGGUCAAAUGUGAAAUAGAAUUCUAACAACUAUGUAGGUUUGUAUUAUGGCCAGAAUGUUUGUGUUCUUGCUUUUUAUGAUCC
This is a long non-coding RNA of Callorhinus ursinus (northern fur seal), 1052 nucleotides long. RefSeq lists it as uncharacterized. Lineage: Eukaryota; Metazoa; Chordata; Mammalia; Carnivora; Otariidae. The record is from RefSeq and is a predicted model, not a curated record.